This 510-nucleotide long non-coding RNA is filed under the name Marmota monax (woodchuck). The record is from RNAcentral. Lineage: Eukaryota; Metazoa; Chordata; Mammalia; Rodentia; Sciuridae.
GAAUCUUUGGUAGCACUAAGUAGCAGCCGCCCCAGUAAUAUGGGGAUGUAGACUCCGGGGUGCACUUUAACCCCCCAGUCUCUGUCCACACCUGCUAUCCUUACCUGUUUGAUUCUACUAUAGACUAUGACCCUAACCUAAUGUUUUUGUAGGCUUUCUCCAAGAAAUAGUGCAAGAGAUGAGAGGGAUCUUACCUUUGUUCUUGGCCAGACUUAGCUUUAAGAACUGGUUCUACCACUUACUAUUUGUGUGGUCUUGAGCAAACCUGAUCUAAGUAAGCUUCCACUUCUGCAUCUGAAAAAAAGGGCUGAGAACUCCUACCCAGCAAAUUGGUUUGCAGAUCAGAGGCCUUAUAUGAGAAGUACUUAACACAGUACCAGGCAUGUGGUAGAAGCUCAGUACAUGGCAGCAAGUAUAAUGGAAACAUCUCCUGAAACAUUUUGUGAGAAAAGGUCAAUUUCUGCCCAAUCAGUGACUUAAGUUCAAGGUGGAAAGGUUCUUUGAAUAUAU